AUCCCAUGAUGAGGACACUAACAAAGUAGUUCCUGGAAUCGUUCCCAAGCGUCAUACAAAGACAAAUCAUCCAAUUGUUGAAAAGUUGUUAUCUCAUUUUGCAACU
Molecule: small nucleolar RNA, 106 nt
Organism: Gossypium arboreum
Lineage: Eukaryota; Viridiplantae; Streptophyta; Magnoliopsida; Malvales; Malvaceae
Rfam family: Plant small nucleolar RNA R71
About the family: R71 is a member of the C/D box family of snoRNAs containing the C (UGAUGA) and D (CUGA) box motifs.
Source: Rfam